UGUUUCGGCUAGGGGGUCAUCCCGACUUACCAACCCGAUGCAAACUACGAAUACCGAAGAAUGUUAUCACGGGAGACACACGGCGGGUGCUAACGUCCGUCGUGAAGAGGGAAACAACCCAGACCGCCAGCUAAGGUCCCAAAGUCACAGUUAAGUGGGAAACGAUGUGGGAAGGCACAGACAGCCAGGAUGUUGGCUUAGAAGCAGCCAUCAUUUAAAGAAAGCGUAAUAGCUCACUGGUCGAGUCGGCCUGCGCGGAAGAUGUAACGGGGCUAAACUGUGCACCGAAGCUGCGGCAGCGACACUAUGUGUUGUUGGGUAGGGGAGCGUUCUGUAAGCCUGCGAAGGUGGCCUGUGAGGGUUGCUGGAGGUAUCAGAAGUGCGAAUGCUGACAUAAGUAACGAUAAUGCGGGUGAAAAGCCCGCACGCCGGAAGACCAAGGGUUCCUGUCCAACGUUAAUCGGGGCAGGGUGAGUCGACCCCUAAGGCGAGGCCGAAAGGCGUAGUCGAUGGGAAACAGGUUAAUAUUCCUGUACUUGGUGUUACUGCGAAGGGGGGACGGAGAAGGCUAUGUUAGCCGGGCGACGGUUGUCCCGGUUUAAGCAUGUAGGCGGAGGUUCCAGGUAAAUCCGGUACCUUUUUAACGCUGAGGUGUGAUGACGAGGCACUACGGUGCUGAAGUAACAAAUGCCCUGCUUCCAGGAAAAGC
Molecule: ribosomal RNA, 709 nt
Filed under: Klebsiella aerogenes
Lineage: Bacteria; Pseudomonadati; Pseudomonadota; Gammaproteobacteria; Enterobacterales; Enterobacteriaceae
Description: partial 23S ribosomal RNA
Rfam family: Bacterial large subunit ribosomal RNA
Source: RNAcentral